This 73-nucleotide transfer RNA is filed under the name Harpegnathos saltator (Jerdon's jumping ant). It matches the Rfam family "tRNA". Rfam says of the family: Transfer RNA (tRNA) molecules are approximately 80 nucleotides in length. Their secondary structure includes four short double-helical elements and three loops (D, anti-codon, and T loops). Lineage: Eukaryota; Metazoa; Arthropoda; Insecta; Hymenoptera; Formicidae. The record is from Rfam by way of RNAcentral.
CGUCAGGUAGCUCAGUGGUCUAGAGCAGUCGCCCGGCAAGCGAAAGACACAGAUUCGAUUCCCGGUCUAGCGA